This 253-nucleotide ribosomal RNA is filed under the name uncultured bacterium. Its description in RNAcentral is "partial 16S ribosomal RNA". It matches the Rfam family "Bacterial small subunit ribosomal RNA", at positions 524 to 776 of the family's 1533-position model. The record is from RNAcentral.
UAUAGAGGUGGCAAGCGUUGUUCGGAAUUACUGGGCGUAAAGGGCGCGUAGGUGGCCUUGUUAGUCAGACGUGAAAUCCCCAAGCUUAACUUGGGAACUGCGUCUGAUACUGCAAGGCUUGAGUUCGGGAGAGGGAUGUGGAAUUCCAGGUGUAGCGGUGAAAUGCGUAGAUAUCUGGAGGAACACCGGUGGCGAAGGCGGCAUCCUGGACCGAAACUGACACUGAGGCGCGAAAGCUAGGGGAGCAAACGGG